GUUGAGGGGAAUGUUGUCUGGUUCGAAAUCUUUCAUGGGAAUGGAUCUGAACUUGCAUGCAUUAUUGCAUCACUUCAUGGUGUGAAUUGAACGAUUUCGGACCAGGCUUCAUUCCCCUCAAC
Molecule: microRNA precursor, 122 nt
Filed under: Ipomoea nil (Japanese morning glory)
Lineage: Eukaryota; Viridiplantae; Streptophyta; Magnoliopsida; Solanales; Convolvulaceae
Description: mir-166 microRNA precursor family
Rfam family: mir-166 microRNA precursor family
About the family: This family represents the plant microRNA (miRNA) precursor mir-166. Animal miRNAs are transcribed as ~70nt precursors and subsequently processed by the Dicer enzyme to give a ~22nt product.
Source: Rfam by way of RNAcentral